AUAUCAAUAAGCGGAGGAAAAGAAACCAACAGGGAUUGCCCUAGUAACGGCGAGUGAAGCGGCAACAGCUCAAAUUUGAAAUCUGGCCCUAGCGGUCCGAGUUGUAAUUUGUAGAGGAUGCUUUUGGUGAGGUGCCUUCCGAGUUCCCUGGAACGGGACGCCGGAGAGGGUGAGAGCCCCGUACGGUUGGACGCCAAACCUCUGUAUAGCUCCUUCGACGAGUCGAGUAGUUUGGGAAUGCUGCUCUAAAUGGGAGGUAAAUUUCUUCUAAAGCUAAAUACCGGCCAGAGACCGAUAGCGCACAAGUAGAGUGAUCGAAAGAUGAAAAGCACUUUGAAAAGAGGGUUAAAUAGCACGUGAAAUUGUUGAAAGGGAAGCGUUUGCGACCAGACUUUUUCCAGGCGGAUCAUCCGGCGUUCUCGCCGGUGCACUCCGCCUGGUUGAGGCCAGCAUCGGUUUCCUUAGGGGGAUAAAGGCCUGGGGAACGUAGCUCCUUCGGGAGUGUUAUAGCCCCUGGCGUAAUACCCCUCGGGGGACCGAGGAACGCGCUCUGCAAGGAUGCUGGCGUAAUGGUCGUCAACGACCCGUCUUGAAACACGGACCAAGGAGUCGAACAUUUGUGCGAGUGUUUGGGUGUCAAACCCUCACGCGUAAUGAAAGUGAACGGAGGUGAGAGCCCUUACGGGUGCAUCAUCGACCGAUCCUGAUGUCUUCGGAUGGAUUUGAGUAAGAGCAUAACUGUUCGGACCCGAAAGAUGGUGAACUAUGCGUGGAUAGGGUGAAGCCAGAGGAAACUCUGGUGGAGGCUCGCAGCGGUUCUGACGUGCAAAUCGAUCGUCAAAUCUGCGCAUGGGGGCGAAAGACUUAUCGAACCAUCUAGUAGCUGGUUACCGC
RNAcentral lists this ribosomal RNA (894 nucleotides) under Daldinia eschscholtzii. Its description in RNAcentral is "partial large subunit ribosomal RNA". It matches the Rfam family "Eukaryotic large subunit ribosomal RNA", at positions 40 to 961 of the family's 3401-position model. Lineage: Eukaryota; Fungi; Ascomycota; Sordariomycetes; Xylariales; Hypoxylaceae. The record is from RNAcentral.